This 677-nucleotide ribosomal RNA is filed under the name uncultured beta proteobacterium. RNAcentral describes it as "SSU rRNA". It matches the Rfam family "Bacterial small subunit ribosomal RNA", at positions 245 to 915 of the family's 1533-position model. Lineage: Bacteria; Pseudomonadati; Pseudomonadota; Betaproteobacteria. The record is from RNAcentral.
CUAGUUGGUGGGGUAAAGGCCUACCAAGGCAUCGAUCAGUAGCUGGUCUGAGAGGACGACCAGCCACACUGGAACUGAGACACGGUCCAGACUCCUACGGGAGGCAGCAGUGGGGAAUUUUGGACAAUGGGCGCAAGCCUGAUCCAGCAAUGCCGCGUGAGUGAAGAAGGCCUUCGGGUUGUAAAGCUCUUUUGUCAGGGAAGAAACGGUGUUGGCUAAUAUCCGGCACUAAUGACGGUACCUGAAGAAUAAGCACCAGCUAACUACGUGCCAGCAGCCGCGGUAAUACGUAGGGUGCAAGCGUUAAUCGGAAUUACUGGGCGUAAAGCGUGCGCAGGCGGUUUUGUAAGUCUGUCGUGAAAUCCCCGGGCUCAACCUGGGAAUUGCGAUGGAGACUGCAAGGCUAGAAUCUGGCAGAGGGGGGUAGAAUUCCACGUGUAGCAGUGAAAUGCGUAGAGAUGUGGAGGAACACCGAUGGCGAAGGCAGCCCCCUGGGUCAAGAUUGACGCUCAUGCACGAAAGCGUGGGGAGCAAACAGGAUUAGAUACCCUGGUAGUCCACGCCCUAAACGAUGUCUACUAGUUGUCGGGUCUUAAUUGACUUGGUAACGCAGCUAACGCGUGAAGUAGACCGCCUGGGGAGUACGGUCGCAAGAUUAAAACUCAAAGGAAUUGACG